UGCCUCCACUGCGUGUUAGAUGCCUCUGCUUACUUUAUUUGAACUCCAAUGUUUUUUUCCCCCCUCUUUAGGUUUAUUAAAAACAGCUUUUGGACUAGAAGAAAAGCACUUAUAUUGGAACAGAUAAUUGGAUUCCUUUCACCCAUAGUACCACAUCCCAGAUGGCUUAAUACUGAAGAGCAUUCUAAGAAGUCCUAAAUAUGGAUCUAUAAUGGAAUGAAAGAUCCUGAGCCCAAAGCAAAGUAAAUCACUGUCCCUUAAAAAAGACUGCUUCCUCAUGAGGUGGUGUUAUGGACUGGCUGCUCUCUACGUGCCGCUGGAGGAGCGCUCAGAGAAACAACAGAACAGCCAGUGGAUGCAGUGAUAUUCAUCCUUGUCAGGUGGCACUGUUCCCAGGAAUACCGAGCAAAAUUUUGCUGAAUGAAGAAGUGAGAAUAGAACUGUAAAACUCAGCCUCAGCCUGGAUAAAAGUGCAGACUGGAAAAUCAUGCAUUAAAAAGCAUCUAGGAGAAUGAUGUGAUAAAAAUACUCAGCAGAGAUCUGCAAAGAGACUACAAUCAACUGAGCGGUAUAUUCUAGGCAAUUUAAAAAAAGGUCCUGUCCUCUUGGAAAGAACCAGGACUGAUUUAUGUACACAGUGUGUCUCAAUAAUAUCCUUUCUUUUUUGUGAAUUCAAAGACAUUAGAAUGGAAGAGGACUAAUUCCACAGAGCGAACAGCUGUAAAAAUCGUUGUACCGUAGGAUGAAACAAAGAAGUCUGUAGGUCAUCUGUCUCUUCUCACAUAGCCAUUGGUUUGUUUGAUUUAGAGCACCAUGUUUUCUGGGGCACUUUGUUCAAUAUGGAUCUUGAAGGCAUGCAGUAAAUCCUGUCUACCUUCAGGUAAUGAAAUUGAGAAAAAUAA
Dromaius novaehollandiae (emu) is the source of this 902-nucleotide long non-coding RNA. RefSeq lists it as uncharacterized. NCBI's taxonomy places the organism in Eukaryota, Metazoa, Chordata, Aves, Casuariiformes, Dromaiidae. The record is from RefSeq and is a predicted model, not a curated record. The transcript has 4 exons.